CCUACGGGUGGCUGCAGUGGGGGAUAUUGGACAAUGGGGGAAACCCUGAUCCAGCGAUGCCGCGUGAGGGAAGAAGGUUUUCGGCUUGUAAACCUCUGUGGAUGGGGGCGAUAAUUACGGUACCCCUUUAGGACGCCACGGCUAACUACGUUCCAGCCGCCGCGGUAAUACGUAGGUGGCGAGCGUUGUCCGGAAUUACUGGGUGUAAAGGGAGUGUAGGCGGGAAAGCAAGUCAGAAGUUAAAACUAUGGGCUUAACCCAUAGCCUGCUGUUGAAACUGGUUUUCUGGAGUGAAGUAGAGGCAAGCGGAAUUCGUAGUGUAGCGGUGAAAUGCGUAGAUAUUAGGAGGAACACCAGUGGCGAAGGCGGCUUGCUGGGCUUUGACUGACGCUGAGGCUCGAAAGCGUGGGGAGCAAACAGGAUUAGAUACCCUAGUAGUC
This 440-nucleotide ribosomal RNA is filed under the name uncultured bacterium. RNAcentral describes it as "partial 16S ribosomal RNA". It matches the Rfam family "Bacterial small subunit ribosomal RNA", at positions 338 to 795 of the family's 1533-position model. The record is from RNAcentral.